This is a long non-coding RNA of Oncorhynchus gorbuscha (pink salmon), 613 nucleotides long. RefSeq lists it as uncharacterized. The record is from RefSeq and is a predicted model, not a curated record. NCBI's taxonomy places the organism in Eukaryota, Metazoa, Chordata, Actinopteri, Salmoniformes, Salmonidae. The transcript is spliced from 3 exons.
GUGGACCUCAUCGGACCCUUUACAAAAUCCAGGAAUGGCAGCAGCUGGUGUCUGACGGCGACCAAUCACUUUACCAAGAGGGUGGAGGCAAUACCCAUUAAGGACGAGACUGGCAAGGCCAUGGUUCUCCUGAGGUCAUCUUGAGUGACCGAGGUCAUGAACGCUGGAACAAGAUAUCGCUUUCCUACCCCCUCCUCCAUGUUUGGUGAAUGGACAAACUAGACCCUCAAGACUGGCACGGGAAAGUCCCUUGAUUGGUACCAGGAAUGGUGGGAGAACAACCUGAAGGUAAUUCUCUUUGCACACAACAGCAUCCAGGCCUCCACCGAGUACGGACAGGAGCAGCAGCUGUUGAUUGAGGAAAACAAUGCAAUUGUAUAUACAAUUAUUGCAUAUACUGUAGUUUCUUAAUUUGGUAUUUACUUUGUGUUGUUUGUCUAUUGACAUUUUUGUAUAACAUACUUUCAGAUCUUCCUGAGUGGUGCAGUGGUCUAAGAACUGCAUCACAGUGCUAGCUGUGCCACUAGAGAUUCUGGGUUAGAGUCCGCAACCGGUAGACCCAUGGGGCGGCCCACAAUUGGCCAAGCGUCGCCCAGGUUAGGGGAGGGUUUGG